UUCAUCUUAUUUUAUCUCUUUUUUUUAUAUCUUUCUUAUUUACAUAACUCAUCUUAUAUUAUCGCAUUUGGAAUAUUAUAUAAACUACAUCUAUACAUUGAUAUUUCUACUUUUAUCUAUAUAUGUCUUAUUUUUCAUUUUAUUUGCAUUUUUUAUUUUUUCAGUUAGUUAUUUAUUUAUUAGUCUAAUAUUUAAUUUUCGUUUCAUUUUUAUUUUUAUUUUUGUUUUUACUUUUAAAAAAUUAUGCAAGUCAAAGAUACUAGGAGAAUCACAAGACAAAUGCUAUCCGGACCCCUCAAAGCCAAAAGACAAGAGAAGCCCAAGCCAAAGGACCAAAAUUCGGCCCAGCAAGAUUUU
RNAcentral lists this long non-coding RNA (357 nucleotides) under Lathyrus oleraceus (garden pea). RNAcentral describes it as "Pisum sativum (pea) long non-coding RNA (PSAT_LNC037468)". The record is from RNAcentral. Lineage: Eukaryota; Viridiplantae; Streptophyta; Magnoliopsida; Fabales; Fabaceae.